UACAGAGGGUGCAAGCGUUGUUCGGAAUUAUUGGGCGUAAAGGGCGCGUAGGCGGUGCCACAAGUCACCUGUGAAAUCUCCGGGCUUAACCUGGGAACUGCAUUCGAGACUGCAUUGCUAGAGUAUGGGAGAGGGAAGUGGAAUUUCCGGUGUAGCGGUGAAAUGCGUAGAUAUCGGAAGGAACAUCAGUGGCGAAAGCGACUUCCUGGACCAAUACUGACGCUCAUGUGCGAAAGCGUGGGGAGCAAACAGG
This 253-nucleotide ribosomal RNA is filed under the name uncultured bacterium. RNAcentral describes it as "partial 16S ribosomal RNA". It matches the Rfam family "Bacterial small subunit ribosomal RNA", at positions 524 to 776 of the family's 1533-position model. The record is from RNAcentral.